Molecule: ribosomal RNA, 494 nt
Filed under: uncultured bacterium
Lineage: Bacteria
Description: partial 16S ribosomal RNA
Rfam family: Bacterial small subunit ribosomal RNA
Source: RNAcentral
GACGAACGCUGGCGGCGUGCUUAACACAUGCAAGUCGAACGGUGAAGCGCCUUCCUUUUUGGUGGGUGUGGAUGAGUGGCGAACGGGUGAGUAACACGUGAGUAACCUGCCCCCUUCUUCUGGAUAACCGCAUGAAAGUGUGGCUAAUACGGGAUAUUCUGGGUCUGUCGCAUGAUGGGUCUGGGAAAGAUAUUGUUUCGGUGGGGGAUGGGCUCGCGGCCUAUCAGCUUGUUGGUGGGGUGAUGGCCUACCAAGGCGGUGACGGGUAGCCGGCCUGAGAGGGUGGACGGUCACACUGGGACUGAGACACGGCCAAGACUCCGACGGGAGGCAGCAGUGGGGAAUAUUGCACAAUGGGCGCAAGGCUGAUGCAGCGACGCCGCGUGAGGGAUGGAGGCCUUCGGGUUGUGAACCUCUUUCGCCAGUGAAGCAGGCCUGCCUCGUUUGUGGGUGGGUUGACGGUAGCUGGAGAAGAAGCGCCGGCUAACUACGUG